UACGACCACAUCAUGUUGAACAGUUCCUAUAUGAUCACAGAAGUUAAGCAACAUUGAGCCUGGUCAGUACUUAGAUCAGUAAUCACUUGGGAAUACCAGGUGCUGUAAG
This is a non-coding RNA of Acanthosepion pharaonis, 109 nucleotides long. Lineage: Eukaryota; Metazoa; Mollusca; Cephalopoda; Sepiida; Sepiidae. The record is from the annotation of a GenBank genome assembly.